CAGAGGGCAGUGGGGCAUCUUUCACGGUUCCUCGGAACAAUGUGCUUCUGAUGCUUGUUGCUCUCACCUAGAGGCUCGUUUUACCGCUGCACGCACUCGGAACGCCUGUUCAAACCACAGCGGCGCCCAAAGAGCUGCUGCCGUCCUCCAGCGUCGGGUUCAUUUACUGCUGUACGGAAACACAUCUCUGGCAGCACCUUUCGUUUUCCGCCUGCUCUCCUCCUCUUGCCACAACCUAACCCUAACUUGCACUUUUCUAGCUGCCUUCUGCUUACUGACUGUCGCCUCUUCUCCGUUUUCUCUCAGCCUUUUGUUCAGAACUACGUUGCUCUUGCGUUUCUCCGUUUCCCUUUGCCACACAGCUGCUUACUUUCACAGGCUCAUGAAGUUUUAUGUUUCAUCGCUUCUUCUAGCAGGUACUCAGGUGAUCCUGUUGCCAUGGCAACUCUGAGAGGAAAAGCUAUACUCCUACGUUGCCUGCUGCUCUGGGCUCUCAGCAUCAGUGCGUUUGCCACAGGCCUGUCCCAGUCCCUGUGCAAGAUGAAGCUGGACUUCAGGGACUUUGACGUUGUCCUGAAGUGGGAUUGUCCCACUCUGCCCUUCAACACCACCUUUACCAUCCAAACUAAAACACAGGGAGACCGAAACUGGAGAGGCGUCACAGGGUGUGUCCGUGUGACCUCUCGGACCUGCAGCCUAUCGGAAGCAUUUGAGCACUUGGCCCUUUACAAUAUGGUCCGACUCGAGACGGAGGUCACUCCGGGCAGGCUGCACCGGAUGACCCCUGUCAAGGUCGACCUGCUCUCUCACAUGGUCUUCAGCCCCCCAUCCCUCAGUCUCUCUCUGAAGCAGUCUGUGCUGACAGUGAAGGUGCAGUUCCCUACAUCCCUCAACAGGAGGCUCUGCCCUCAUCAAAGCAACUGCUCCAUCCCCGUGGUACUUGAGCGCAUGACCACCAUUGUGGUGUACAAGAGAAAACGGCCCUCGGAGUGCCAGACGCGCACUCUUCGAGCUGUGGGUGACACCCUGAGCUGUGACUUCGAGAACCUGGAAGCAGGACAGGAGUACUGCGCCGUAGCCAACUUCACAUCCAGCAGCUCCUCAUCUCCAUCCUGCAUCUAUACACCUUUCCAGCAUCCAGUGCUGAAGCCCCUGCUGAUAGUGCUGGGAGUGUGUUGUGUCCUCCUGGCCAGUACCACAGUCUUCCUGAAAGCAAAGAGAGUAUCAUCAGAGCGCCGCUGUCUCCCCAAGACUCUGGAAUCACUGCAGGAUGAGCUGUCCAGGGAGCUGUGGGUCUUACAGGAGGACUGCGAGGGAGAUCACCUCUCCAUUUUGUCCCUGUCAUCCAGCUAUGAUUCCAUCCCCCCUCUGGCAUCUGAGGCCCUGACUGACCACCAGAUCCUGGACAAUGGCUACCACAACAACCCUUUCCUUGUGGACUCAGACUCUGGUGAAUCAGACUGGGGUAGCAGAGGUAUGACAGACCUUGCUGGGCCAGGACACGGUGCAAAUGCUGUGAGCUGGCUUUGUGACCGCAUUGCUGCCCAGUCACAGCAAUCUAAUGGCACAAGUCCACCAUCAGACGGUCACUGGGGGGUCUCUGUGAGGGUGAGGUCACCCUUGAUGUCCAGGGAUGUCCCACUGGGCUCGGUGAGGUUGGCCUCCGCAGAAGCCGAGGCACUUGAGGAGUGGAGUCACCUCUCCCAACCUGUAGAAUCCUGGGAUCCUGGAAUCUCAAAUGUGUAG
RNAcentral lists this long non-coding RNA (1746 nucleotides) under Scleropages formosus (Asian bonytongue). Its description in RNAcentral is "lncRNA (ENSSFOG00015031727.1)". The record is from RNAcentral. Lineage: Eukaryota; Metazoa; Chordata; Actinopteri; Osteoglossiformes; Osteoglossidae.